This 350-nucleotide unclassified non-coding RNA is filed under the name plant metagenome. Its description in RNAcentral is "partial contains 5.8S ribosomal RNA, internal transcribed spacer 2, and large subunit ribosomal RNA". The stretch from base 1 to 105 matches the Rfam family "5.8S ribosomal RNA", at positions 50 to 154 of the family's 154-position model. The record is from RNAcentral.
GAAAUGCGAUAAGUAAUGUGAAUUGCAGAAUUCAGAGAAUCAUCGAAUCUUUGAACGCACCUUGCGCUCCUUGGUAUUCCGAGGAGCAUGCCUGUUUGAGUGUCAUGGAAUUCUCAACUCUAUUUGCUUUUGUGAAUAGAGCUUGGAUUUGGAGGUUUAUUGCUGGUACUUGUGAUCGGCUCCUCUUGAAUGCAUUAGCUCGAACCUUUGCGGAUCAGCUAUCGGUAUGAUAAUUGUCUACGCCGUUGCAGUGAAGCAUAUCAAUGGGCUCGGCUUCCAAUCGUCCUUUACUGGACAAUGACUUUGACCUUUGACCUCAAAUCAGGUAGGAUUACCCGCUGAACUUAAGC